UACAGAGGUCUCAAGCGUUGUUCGGAUUCAUUGGGCGUAAAGGGUGCGUAGGUGGCGCCGUAAGUCGGGUGUGAAAUUUCGGAGCUUAACUCCGAAACUGCAUUUGAUACUGCGGUGCUUGAGGACUGGAGAGGAGACUGGAAUUUACGGUGUAGCAGUGAAAUGCGUAGAGAUCGUAAGGAAGACCAGUGGCGAAGGCGGGUCUCUGGACAGUUCCUGACACUGAGGCACGAAGGCCAGGGGAGCAAACGGG
Molecule: ribosomal RNA, 253 nt
Filed under: uncultured bacterium
Lineage: Bacteria
Description: partial 16S ribosomal RNA
Rfam family: Bacterial small subunit ribosomal RNA
Source: RNAcentral